GGCGACUACUAGAGGUGAUGAGAUUGAAGUCAAAUGAUUUCACUAUUAAACUUGGUAUAUAGUAAGUAGAAAAGUAAUCUGGCUAAAUAACUUUUUCCAAAAAAAAGCACACACUGUGUGUUUUGCAACUGAAGAAAACUUGCUGUUCAAAGUGAGCAGGAAACUAGAAACUGAUUGAAGAUAAAGAUACCUUUAAUGUUAUAAUAGAAUUGUUUUGCAACUGCACAUUCAGUUCGUUAUCUCGUUUCCCUAAAAAAUAAUAUUGUAAAGUCGUUCGCUAUAUAAAUCCUAAAGAUAAUCAUAAAAUUGAAGAUUUGUUUUCCUUAAGCUCUGCUAUCAUCUUCGUCAAAGUGCCUGAGCUACGAAGUUUGUUCAAAUCGGAAUUGCCUUUAUAUAAUGUAUUAGUAAUAAACAACAGAGAAAAACCAACGAGAAUAUUAAUGGUCAAGGAAAACAAAUUUGGGUUCAUACCUCCAAUGAAUUGGUUGCGAAAGAAUAUGCUGGGUACUGUAGACUGUUUGGUCUUUUCAUGUAAAUAAGCUGCUCAGGUAAGCAUAUGAUAAAAUCAGUUUGUUAACUAAACACACCUUGGAUGUCAGAUCCAUUUUCUAGUGUAACAUCAAGUUAGUUAAAAAGGAUGAAAAGCAGAACAAAAAACUUGAAAUGUUUCGCUAUUUCUCAAGAUCAUGGAAGGAAACAAAAAUUUUCGUAGUUUCAUUACACAAUUAUGAGGUUUCGAAAACCCAAUUAGACUAUUAUUUCAUAUACUUAAUUUAUGUAGACAUAACUCAAGAAACUUUACAAUCGAUCAACUGAAUCUUCAGCUCUUAAACAAAUGAAGAAUACCAUACUUACCUAUUUUAUCUAACUCAUAAGCCUUAUACGGAGCAGAGUACUUUGUAAGAGUAUUUUUGGCUGCUUUGCAGAAAGGACAGAACGAUUUACUAAAGACAGUAACCGGAUUGUU
Molecule: non-coding RNA, 967 nt
Organism: Schizosaccharomyces pombe (fission yeast)
Lineage: Eukaryota; Fungi; Ascomycota; Schizosaccharomycetes; Schizosaccharomycetales; Schizosaccharomycetaceae
Source: the annotation of a GenBank genome assembly